This 737-nucleotide ribosomal RNA is filed under the name Arthrobacter sp. SP003. Its description in RNAcentral is "bacterial SSU rRNA". It matches the Rfam family "Bacterial small subunit ribosomal RNA", at positions 567 to 1302 of the family's 1533-position model. Lineage: Bacteria; Bacillati; Actinomycetota; Actinomycetes; Micrococcales; Micrococcaceae. The record is from RNAcentral.
GCUCGUAGGCGGUUUGUCGCGUCUGCCGUGAAAGUCCGGGGCUCAACUCCGGAUCUGCGGUGGGUACGGGCAGACUAGAGUGAUGUAGGGGAGACUGGAAUUCCUGGUGUAGCGGUGAAAUGCGCAGAUAUCAGGAGGAACACCGAUGGCGAAGGCAGGUCUCUGGGCAUUAACUGACGCUGAGGAGCGAAAGCAUGGGGAGCGAACAGGAUUAGAUACCCUGGUAGUCCAUGCCGUAAACGUUGGGCACUAGGUGUGGGGGACAUUCCACGUUUUCCGCGCCGUAGCUAACGCAUUAAGUGCCCCGCCUGGGGAGUACGGCCGCAAGGCUAAAACUCAAAGGAAUUGACGGGGGCCCGCACAAGCGGCGGAGCAUGCGGAUUAAUUCGAUGCAACGCGAAGAACCUUACCAAGGCUUGACAUGAACCGGAAAUACCUGGAAACAGGUGCCCCGCUUGCGGUCGGUUUACAGGUGGUGCAUGGUUGUCGUCAGCUCGUGUCGUGAGAUGUUGGGUUAAGUCCCGCAACGAGCGCAACCCUCGUUCUAUGUUGCCAGCGCGUGAUGGCGGGGACUCAUAGGAGACUGCCGGGGUCAACUCGGAGGAAGGUGGGGACGACGUCAAAUCAUCAUGCCCCUUAUGUCUUGGGCUUCACGCAUGCUACAAUGGCCGGUACAAAGGGUUGCGAUACUGUGAGGUGGAGCUAAUCCCAAAAAGCCGGUCUCAGUUCGGAUUGGG